UAAUGGCUCACCAAGGCGACGACGGGUAGCCGGCCUGAGAGGGCGACCGGCCACACUGGGACUGAGACACGGCCCAGACUCCUACGGGAGGCAGCAGUGGGGAAUAUUGCACAAUGGGCGCAAGCCUGAUGCAGCGACGCCGCGUGAGGGAUGAAGGCCUUCGGGUUGUAAACCUCUUUCAGCAGGGAAGAAGCGAGAGUGACGGUACCUGCAGAAGAAGCGCCGGCUAACUACGUGCCAGCAGCCGCGGUAAUACGUAGGGCGCAAGCGUUGUCCGGAAUUAUUGGGCGUAAAGAGCUCGUAGGCGGUUUGUCGCGUCUGCUGUGAAAACCUAAGGCUCAACCUUGGGCUUGCAGUGGGUACGGGCAGACUAGAGUGCGGUAGGGGUGACUGGAAUUCCUGGUGUAGCGGUGGAAUGCGCAGAUAUCAGGAGGAACACCGAUGGCGAAGGCAGGUCACUGGGCCGCAACUGACGCUGAGGAGCGAAAGCAUGGGGAGCGAACAGGAUUAGAUACCCUGGUAGUCCAUGCCGUAAACGUUGGGCACUAGGUGUGGGGCUCAUUCCACGAGUUCCGUGCCGCAGCAAACGCAUUAAGUG
Molecule: ribosomal RNA, 598 nt
Filed under: uncultured bacterium
Lineage: Bacteria
Description: bacterial SSU rRNA
Rfam family: Bacterial small subunit ribosomal RNA
Source: RNAcentral